RNAcentral lists this long non-coding RNA (337 nucleotides) under Coturnix japonica (Japanese quail). RNAcentral's name for it is "lncRNA (ENSCJPG00005004775.1)". The record is from RNAcentral. Lineage: Eukaryota; Metazoa; Chordata; Aves; Galliformes; Phasianidae.
UUAAAAUUCUGACUUUCACUGAUUUUAUUUACAUUUCAUUGAUUUCUUCAGAUCCCUGUAAAUCAGCCCUUCAUUUCUCAGUGGAAGGAGAGGUCCUGCUGGAGUGGAAGAAGAAUAAUACAGCUACAGUGCUGCAGACAUGGUAUAUGAUGCAUAGCAUAAGGAUCAUCCCCAGAGGAAGAAUUUGAAGUUUGAAUAUCUUAUUUGUGAUCUGACUUUUGUACUGGAAAACUCAAUAGCAAGGUUAGUCUCAUUCAUAUUUGUGUAAUUAAUAUCAGAACAGAGUUCAAAGCUUCUGCUUCUGGUUGUAGUGCUUUGGUUUCUCAUUAAUCAGAAC